CCUACGGGAGGCAGCAGUGGGGAAUAUUGGACAAUGGGCGAAAGCCUGAUCCAGCAAUACCGCGUGUGUGAAGAAGGCCUUAGGGUUGUAAAGCACUUUCAAUUGGGAGGAAAACCUGCCGGUCAAUACCCGGUAGCUUGACAUUACCUUUAGAAGAAGCACCGGCUAACUCCGUGCCAGCAGCCGCGGUAAUACGGAGGGUGCGAGCGUUAAUCGGAAUUACUGGGCGUAAAGCGUGCGUAGGCGGUUCGUUAAGUCAGAUGUGAAAGCCCCGGGCUCAACCUGGGAACUGCAUUUGAAACUGGCGGACUAGAGUUUAGUAGAGGGGAGUGGAAUUUCAGGUGUAGCGGUGAAAUGCGUAGAUAUCUGAAGGAACACCAGUGGCGAAGGCGACUCCCUGGACUAGAACUGACGCUGAGGUACGAAAGCGUGGGUAGCAAACAGGAUUAGAUACCCUGGUAGUCCACGCCGUAAACGAUGUCGACUAGCCGUUGGUCCUAUUUACAGGAUUAGUGGCGCAGCUACGACAUUAAGUACGACCGCCGUCGGGAGGUACGGCCGCCGAACGGUUAAAACGUAACAAUAGAAGUUAGACGGCGUGAGACGUGCCGAACGGACGACCGACGAGGGGAGGUAGG
Molecule: ribosomal RNA, 638 nt
Filed under: uncultured bacterium
Lineage: Bacteria
Description: bacterial SSU rRNA
Rfam family: Bacterial small subunit ribosomal RNA (bases 1-544)
Source: RNAcentral